AUUGCUUCUCGGCCUUUUGGCUAAGAUCAAGUGUAGUAUCAUUUCCUUUUUCUAAAUUUUGUUUUUCUUUUUGGUAUACUUAGAAGCAACCAACUACCCCCA
Molecule: small nuclear RNA, 102 nt
Organism: Oryctolagus cuniculus (rabbit)
Lineage: Eukaryota; Metazoa; Chordata; Mammalia; Lagomorpha; Leporidae
Gene: U2
Rfam family: U2 spliceosomal RNA
About the family: U2 is a small nuclear RNA (snRNA) component of the spliceosome (involved in pre-mRNA splicing). Complementary binding between U2 snRNA (in an area lying towards the 5' end but 3' to hairpin I) and the branchpoint sequence (BPS) of the intron results the bulging out of an unpaired adenosine, on the BPS, which initiates a nucleophilic attack at the intronic 5' splice site, thus starting the first of two transesterification reactions that mediate splicing.
Source: Ensembl